RNAcentral lists this ribosomal RNA (113 nucleotides) under Roseicella aerolata. RNAcentral describes it as "Bacterial small subunit ribosomal RNA". It matches the Rfam family "Bacterial small subunit ribosomal RNA", at positions 1 to 127 of the family's 1533-position model. The record is from Rfam by way of RNAcentral. Lineage: Bacteria; Pseudomonadati; Pseudomonadota; Alphaproteobacteria; Acetobacterales; Roseomonadaceae.
GAACCUGAGAGUUUGAUCCUGGCUCAGAGCGAACGCUGGCGGCAUGCUUAACACAUGCAAGUCGCGCGGCCGGCAACGGCAGCGGCGGACGGGUGAGUAACGCGUAGGAAUGU